This 268-nucleotide ribosomal RNA is filed under the name uncultured bacterium. RNAcentral's name for it is "partial 16S ribosomal RNA". The record is from RNAcentral.
CUGCUGCCUCCCGUAGGAGUCUGGUCCGUGUCUCAGUACCAGUGUGGGGGACCUUCCUCUCAGAACCCCUACCGCAUCGUCGCCUCGGUGGGCCGUUACCCCGCCGACUAGCUAAUGCGCCGCAUGGCCAUCCGCAGCCGAUAAAUCUUUAAACAUCGGGAGAUGCCUCCCCAACGUUGUUACGCGGUAUUAGACGGAAUUUCUUCCGCUUAUCCCCCUGCUGCGGGCAGGUUCCAUACGUGUUACUCACCCGUGCGCCGGUCGCCGG